UCAAGAAUCGAAGUUGAGAUGAGGCGACGUAUUGAAAUUUGCGUAUUCAAAUAUGCAAAAGUAACAUAGACAGUUAUGCUAUAUAUUCACUUGAAUUUAAGGAUGUAGCAAGUGUAUACACGCUAAAAAUGUGUUCCUUGUUUCUCGCCUAUUUGUUGAUAUCUUGUCCUCUUGACAUUUUACUUCACUUCGUUUCUGGCAUAGAGAGCGUGUGGUUUAUAAAAUCUUAAUUGUCACAUAUCUCGGCGUCGACCAGGACAGGCGUCUUACAUGGAAAAAACAUAUUGAAGCGAAACGGGACCAAUUAAGACAUAAAUCCAGAGGACUGCAAAAGAGGACCAAAGUGCACAGUCUUAAGUGCUCAGAACCAUCACAGGAGCUCCAUGGAUAACUACAAAAGGAAACUCUCCACGCACCAAAAUCCUCUAGCCAGAUCGCUAAACCAAG
Long non-coding RNA from Drosophila ananassae, 447 nucleotides. RefSeq lists it as uncharacterized. Lineage: Eukaryota; Metazoa; Arthropoda; Insecta; Diptera; Drosophilidae. The transcript has 3 exons. The record is from RefSeq and is a predicted model, not a curated record.